RNAcentral lists this long non-coding RNA (826 nucleotides) under Equus caballus (horse). RNAcentral describes it as "lncRNA (ENSECAG00000033025.2)". The record is from RNAcentral. Lineage: Eukaryota; Metazoa; Chordata; Mammalia; Perissodactyla; Equidae.
AUGUCGUCUUCCCAAUGAGACCUCCCCUGAUUACUCCGCAUAAAAUUAUAACUCUUAUCUUGGUGUUGCUUCUCAACUUUCCCUGCUUUAUUUGGCUCCACAGCACAUAAAACUGAGUAAUUUUACAUACUUCCUCAUGUCCUUAUUCUUUGCCUCCUCGCCUAGGAUGUAAGUCACAUGAAGGUGGGGACUUUAUUUUGUCUUACUUCACUGCCUGCGUGUGCGUUAAAUGACUGAUGAAGAGCUGUGUGCUAAUGCUGAGAAACUCCUGACGAGGCUGAACUUGAGUGUACAGUCAACGAGUACGGUACUUGAGGGCCGCGAGGUUUGGAAUGAACUCCUGAAGAAUACAGAGGACGAGCAUCUGAAAUCUCCACUUCCCGUGAUUAAGCAGGCAGCAGGAUAUGCCUUUGCCACGCCUAUCUAAUGGCGAAAAAGGAAAACCUGGAUUCUCCUGAGUGGGCACCUGAAAGAGACUCUGCACAUGGGGCUGGAGGAAAUGUACACCCCACACUCCUGCGCUUCUGCCCAGCUGGAGGCAAAAGACUCCAAGGCUUUAGGCCAUGGUUAAGCCUGAAGACAGGAUGAGCCGGGAGCCCUGAAUUCGGCUUGAGGAGAGCAACUCAAGAAAGCCGGAGUUUUCUGCCCUCAUCAACUGGAUGUUAGUUCUCUCCUUGGACUGAUCUCUGCUGGCAGGUUGCUGUAACAUCCACAUACUUAUAUGCUUCAGGGCUGGAAUGUCCUUCUGAGUGUAUUAAACUAUGUCACUGGUCUCCCUCCCGUGAUGGGAGGAAGGAAACUCAGAGGAGGAAAGAGAAGAAAAGAG